UACGUAGGGUGCAAGCGUUAAUCGGAAUUACUGGGCGUAAAGCGUGCGCAGGCGGUUGUGCAAGACAGAUGUGAAAUCCCCGGGCUCAACCUGGGAACUGCAUCUGUGACUGUAUAGCUAGAGUACGGUAGAGGGGGAUGGAAUUCCGCGUGUAGCAGUGAAAUGCGUAGAUAUGCGGAGGAACACCGAUGGCGAAGGCAAUCCCCUGGACCUGUACUGACGCUCAUGCACGAAAGCGUGGGGAGCAAACAGG
Molecule: ribosomal RNA, 253 nt
Filed under: uncultured bacterium
Lineage: Bacteria
Description: partial 16S ribosomal RNA
Rfam family: Bacterial small subunit ribosomal RNA
Source: RNAcentral